Molecule: ribosomal RNA, 252 nt
Filed under: uncultured bacterium
Lineage: Bacteria
Description: partial 16S ribosomal RNA
Rfam family: Bacterial small subunit ribosomal RNA
Source: RNAcentral
UUGAACGCUGGCGGCAUGCCUUACACAUGCAAGUCGAACGGUAGAGGGGCAACCCUUGAGAGUGGCGAACGGGUGAGUAAUAUAUCGGAACGUGCCCAGUCGUGGGGGAUAACGCAGCGAAAGCUGCGCUAAUACCGCAUACGAUCUAUGGAUGAAAGCGGGGGAUCGCAAGACCUCGCGCGAUUGGAGCGGCCGAUAUCAGAUUAGGUAGUUGGUGGGGUAAAAGCCCACCAAGCCGACGAUCCGUAGCUG